GCAUUUAAGUUACGAGAAAAAACGAUAAGCAACAGAAGGACAGUCGGAAAAGAAACUCGAAGUUUUAAUAAAUUAGGACAGUGGCCUCCACACCUUCGUACCUCCCUGUAGGUUUCAAAAGCUUUCAUGAUUAUUGCCCUGCUAAAACCACACGAUAUCCAUAAUAAGAAGAACAAAUCUGAAUGUAUCGGCAAUUAAUUGCAUAAAAAAAGGUUAAACGAUUAACUUAAUUGCGAGUAAAGAGUUAGCUGAAAUUCAUAUUCUUCACGGCACAUGAAAUAAUAAUUGAUGGCAAAGGGAAUUAAGGAAUGAAUUCAAAACGUAGUAUUGAAUGCCGGAAAAAUGAUUAAAAGAAUAUGUGUGACCUCCAACUGUAAGUCUAUUUGAAGCGUAAGCAUACCUAGUAAGAAAUGGAUAGAAAUUGUCAUUAAACUGUCAUUAGUACUACAAUCUGCUAUCACUCUGAGUGCUUGAAGUUACAGAUUCUGUUCCAACAGGAAUAACAGAUGCAGCCGGGGAUGCUGUUGAUUCGCUUUCAGUGACUGAGUUUAUUUUUGAGCUCUCUCGUUUGGAAUUCCUGCCAUCUUUAUGAAUUACGCGACACCAUCGACUAUGUCCCGGCCAUGCUUGAUGCUGGCAUUCUUUACUGCAAUAUUUUGUACGUCGGCAUCUUCUGCAUUUAGCAAAUUGACGACUGUGCUCUUCCCAUUUGUUACAUAACAAAUUGGCGCAUCGACGUAUACCACCAUGACUUUCAUCUUUCCGACAGUAAUUAUUCAUGAUAGCUCUGGCCCAGUAUUGAACUUGUGGGGGGUAGAAUUUCAAGGUGAACUGCUCGACUAACUGAAAAAUAUUCCACGUUUUACUGCCGCUACGUAAGGGCGACAUACGUAAACUUGGAACAUCUUUAGAAGACUCGAAGUAAGGACGCAUAUGGAAAUAGUUUUUACUAGUAUAAGCAAGAAUUUGCAAACCAAAAAGUAUAUCUUCUUCACGAGGGAGUUUAUUAAUCUUCUUAUCAAAGUUGUCAAAGAAUGAGGCAAUCCCGUGAUAAUCAACUACAUUUUCGGGCCUGCGGCCAUCUAAUAACGCAGAUGUAGAAGGAACACCAGGUAAAAGUUGAUUACGACGCUGACGAUUAUUCAAGGCCUGUGAUUGAACAUUAUUUAAAGACAAUUGCACAUCCCGUGAUGAAUCCUGAGUAGUAGUCAUAAUAUUAAGCGGAGUUGGAAAGAAAAAAUUUGGAGAGUCUAUCUCGUCAUUAAUUGUCUCACUAGCAGGGCCUGUUUGACGAGAGUAUGAAGGAGAAGAAGGGGUAGUCAUGUUAUAAUUAACAUUUUCAGUAGAAGUAGGAGUAGAGGGUGCAGCUGAUGAAAUUCUUUGAAUGGUUAAUGGAGAGUUUGCUUGAACACGAGGAUCUUGAAAUGAAUCAUUUGAAUAAAUGGAGCCGGAGGAUCGAUCAUGACUAGUGGUAGAGCUUGAUCCCAAUAAAUCACGAUUCACGGAAUGUCGAAACGUAGAUUGAUUUGGAAGUUGGACAUCUCCACUAUCCCGUAAAUCCACCGAAUAAACUCUUCUAGAGCUAGAGCUUGCCGUACUAGCUCCAAAUGGAGAUGGUACAUCACCGUUGACGAACAAAGAGUCAGCAGAUGAAUUGUGUUGAGACACAGAAUCAAGAGAAUUGCUAAUAUUAGAAUUAAUGGGGAAUGGAGCAGAUGCGGAUGAUGGAGGAGGGGUAGUAGAAGGUGUAAGGGAAAAUUGAAAUCGAGAAUGGUGAGAAACAACGGACUCAAGCGCAAACAAAAAAUCAUCUAAAAGGGUGACAACAAUAGGAACGAUACCAGCUUCCACAACACGAAUUCGAAUAGCUUCAGACCCACGUAUCCCAACAUUUACGACACACUGAAGAGCUAGCUGCCAUAUUGUCAUUCGGGCAAAUGUUUGUCCACGUCCGGCACGUAAAAUAUUCAUUAAACGCAUCAAACCACCAUCCAUAGUAAGG
RNAcentral lists this long non-coding RNA (2002 nucleotides) under Schizosaccharomyces pombe (fission yeast). Lineage: Eukaryota; Fungi; Ascomycota; Schizosaccharomycetes; Schizosaccharomycetales; Schizosaccharomycetaceae. The record is from RNAcentral.